Non-coding RNA from Vicugna pacos (alpaca), 221 nucleotides. The record is from RefSeq and is a predicted model, not a curated record. NCBI's taxonomy places the organism in Eukaryota, Metazoa, Chordata, Mammalia, Artiodactyla, Camelidae.
CCGUGGGCGCCGAGCCCCACUUCUUCGACCGCAGCUACCACAAGGGCCUCGCCUGGUACCGACUUUAUUUCCACAAAGUAGGACUGUUUCUUCCCAUUCCAGAAGUAUUAGCGGGCACAGUGUAUCUACAGAGCUGAAUCUGAUUUUCUGUGGACUUUUCUGAGUUCUUGUAAGAGAAGGAAGGUUUCAAGGUAACUAGAAACACAAGUAUUAAAAAAAAA